This 1544-nucleotide long non-coding RNA is filed under the name Chinchilla lanigera (long-tailed chinchilla). RNAcentral's name for it is "lncRNA (ENSCLAG00000025323.1)". Lineage: Eukaryota; Metazoa; Chordata; Mammalia; Rodentia; Chinchillidae. The record is from RNAcentral.
AUGCAAGGACAGUCGGGGGGACGAGCCCCACUGCGUGUGCUGCCUCUGCCUGGUUUGCUUUGGGCUCAAGGGGACUUGUUCUGUCCUGCGGGGGCGGGGAGCAGCACCAGGAGGGAAGCUGAGAAAGCCAGAGGCGGGAGCCUCAGAGGAGCGAUGUCACAGAGACAGGAGAGGGCAGCCCGGGCCUCAUGGGACAGACCUGCGUCCCCCAGGCCCCUUCCUCUCCUUGGACCAGCUGGACCCCUAAAGACUGGAGGCCCUUGGUGGAUGCGUCACCCUGAAGUGGAGGGAUGUUGCUGGUGGAGGACAACAGGGCAGAGCUCAGCCCAGCCCAGCGCCGCUGCAGUCACAGAGGACUCGGCCGCUCCCAGAGCAGGGAGGCGCCGGGGAGCUGGAGAUCGCUGCCCCGAGAGCUGCCUCUCAAUUUGUGGCAUCUGGCUGGCUGGAGUAACCAUGGAAACCAGGGCCUAAGCGGGGAGGCCAGAAGAGGCUAUGCCAUACCUCCAGCCAGAGGGCAGGGCUGAGACCAAAAAGGUGACUUUGGAGAUGAAAAGGUGAUCAGGUCACUGGGUGGAGUCUGAAGAGGUUUUCCAAAGAACAGAUGAGGUGCCCAACCUGGCCCAUCUAUUAGGAACUCGAGGGCCGGGCAUGGUGGCACAUGCCUGUAAUCCCAGCACUCGGGAGGCUGAAGCAGGAACAUUGUUGCAAGUUCGAGACCAGCCUGGGCUACAAAGUGAGCUCAAGGCCAGCCUGAACUGCAUAGAGAGACCCUGCCUCAAAAAAAAAGAUAAAAAGUAUUAGGUUCUUGACUCUUGUCACAAGAAAAAAAUUUCAGGACACAUGAGUAAGAGGCAUAGACAGAUUUUAUUAGGCAGAGAUAGACACUUGCUGGCCGUGGUGGCAUAUGCCUUUAAUCCCCGCACUCAGGAGGCUGAUGCAGGAGGAUCCAUCAGCACAAGUUCGAGGCUAGCUUGAGUUACAUAGUGAGUUCAAGGACAGUCUCAACUACAUAGGGAGGCACUGUCUCAAAAAAAAAAAAAUAGUAAAAGAUGUGGAGUUCAUACUGUGUAUGAUUGCCUAAGCCUAUGAUCCCAGUAUUCUGGGAGGCUGAGACAGGAAGUUCACACGUUCGAGAAUCACUAUAUGAACACUAUAUAGGUUGGACCUGAAAAAUAUGUAGUCUCCUAUAGGGUGGAGAUUGAGACCCUGUCUCAAAAAACAAAAAAAAAUUAAAAUAAGCAAAGGUCGGGUAUGGUGUCGCACGCCUGUAAUCCCAGCACUUGGGAAGCUGAGGCAGGAGGCUCAUUGUGAGUUCGAGACCAACCUGGGCUACAAAGUGAGCUCAAGGCCAGCCUGAACUGCAUAGCAAGACCCUGUCUCAAAAAACAAACAAACAAACAAAAAUAUAUAGGGUGGAGAUUACAUUGCUUACACAACAAGCCUGAGCUCCCUGCCAGACCCCUUAAAAUCCUCUAGACAAAGAGCCCUACUCAGUUUUUUGGAGUUUUUUUUGUCCUUUUUUUGAGACGGGGUCUCCCUAUGCA